UGAGCUGUCAGCACAGAGCCUGACAAGGAGCUUGAACUCACAGACUGCGAGAUCCUGACCUGAGCUGAAGUCAGCUGCUUAACUGACUGAGCCACCCAGGCAGCCCUACCAACUCCCAACUUUUAAUGCCCCUCCAAAACCUGCCUGCUUGUGUACGGUCUCUUGUGCUCUCUGCUGCAUUUAAAAAAUAUUUUCUGGAGUUUCUAGCUUUUGUUUGUAGGACGAUCAGCUUAUUGGAUGUGUUUGGUGCACAUUUGGUGUGUUUGGUGUGUCUGUUCUGCCUUGGUGUGGACUGAAAGCCUCAGUUCCCUGGAAAAGGGGAGAAAUCAGGGAGGUGGAAAGGCGUGGGCACCAGGAGGAGCCAUCUCAGCAGCUGGGUUUAUGCAUUAUGCACCAGCUAAUCUUGCUUCAUAGACACAACCACGUGACUCAGUGUGCCCUUGAAGGAAAUCAGAGUCUAGUCAUUGUCGUUCUCAACCACUGGGUGGCUCUGUCCACUAAUUUUCCUAACACCAAGUCAGGCUAGAAUUGCUUUGCAGUGGCUGCAAACCCUUACCCUCCAGGACACAGCUUAAAAUGCCAUCUCCAUGGUGGCUCUUCCUGUCCUGACUCACUGCCAGAAGGACUCAUCACAUUGACUUCUGAACACACCUUCUGCCCAGCCAGCCCAAGGCCUUUGUGUGAAUUUUCAUGAAUAGACAUUUAGUGAAGGCUACUAGGUGCAAAGGGUAAAUCCAAAGUGGUGGCUCAUGCCUCCAAGGCAGCCUUUUUCAACUGACUGCACAGAUAUGUGUUGGAUGUAAUGGGCUAACUUCUCUCCUUUGCAUCUAGGGUGGCGCUAGUUAUGCAUCAUCCUUGGGAGAAUUGAGAAAAUAGUCUCACAAAUCAUCUGUGUUCUGUGGUUCAGAUGAGAAACCCUAUGUUAUAGAGUCUGUGGGGGGGAGGCUCCUUUUCUGGGAAGAACAUGAGGGAGAGAGAAAGGGAAGCUCUGCAUAUGUGCUUUAGGAUGAAAGCAACUGUCCUCACAAACCACUUCUUGGUCCUGCCAUUCACAACAUGGUUCCUUUUCCACCAACUCUUCCUCUGCCACAAGGGGCAGUGUGGGAACUGAGAGCCAUCAUCUUUCCUUUACCAGCGAGAACCUUCUGGAUGCAAGCAUUCUUUCUCUGGCAGAGGAGCCCUAAAGUACUGACUCUGCUAUGAGCCAGAUGUGGGACUGGACCCUUUGUGUGUGUUAACUGGUGUGAUUUGCAUAAUAACCUGAAAUUGUGGGUGUUUUGGUCUCAGUUUUACAGCACAAAACCGAUGCUCAGAGCGGUUGAAUACUUUGCACAUCAACACACAGACAUGCUCUAAAUUCUCACAUUAAAAAAAAUUCUCCCUUGAGCCCAUACCUGUUUCUGGCUUCAAUCCUGAAUUUUGUUUCCUUUCACAAAAAAGUUCUUAGUAGAGUUCCCUAUGGAGCAUCCUAGUCCCUGCUUCUACAGCCCCAUUCUCUCACCCCCUUUGGUAGGGCUUCUGUCACUGCUCAUCCAGGUCACUGGAUAUUCCUGAGUUGAACACAGUGGCCAUCUCUCUAUCCUUCUUUUAUCUCUUGGUAGCACUCAUCACGUUUGACCACUCACUCUUUCCUGAAUUAUUUUCUUCUCUUGGCUGCCAGAUGACCACACUCUCCUGGAUUUCCUGCUAUCUUACUGGCUUCUCCUCCCUCCCAUUUAUGUGAGACUCCUGCUCUGUUCUACCUCUAAAUGUCUGAGGGCCCUGGAGCCCACUGCUCAUCACCUUCCUACAUGACCCCAUCUGGUCCCAUGGCUUUAUAUCUCCAGCUUGGCCUUUCCCUGAUGUUCCAGACUUACACAGCCAGUCCCCUGCUCAGCGUGGCCACAUGGAUGGAUAACUAACAAGUGUCUAAAAAUUGUCAUGUCCCUAUCCUGAUUCCACUCCUAACUUGCUUUUCCCCCAGACUUCCUCAUUUCUAGAAAUUGUGCCAACAUCCACCUAGUUGCUCAAGCCCUAAUCUUUCUCAGUAUUUCUUUUUAAUUCUGUCCCCCAAGCAGUUCUCUAAUUUGCUCAUUUUCCUCUAGCUCCACCACUUCCUGCCUGGCCCCAGCCACCGUCAUCUGUAGCCUGGGCUGCUGUGGGGCUGUGCUAACUGGUUUCCCUUGCCCCCAGUAAUCCUUGUCUGCAUAGCAGCCAGUUUUCUUUAAAUAGGUGGAUCAGAUGAUGCUACUUGGCUGCUUAGAAGCAUCCCCAGUGGCUUCCCACCUCCCAGUGUAAGUUGCACACUCCUUAAUCUGGCUCACAAAGUACUCCUGACAUGCUCUGCUUUCCUGGUUCCUCACCCACUCUCCCGGCUGCAUGCUCCAGACAUACUGCUCUCGCGGACCAAGCUAGCUCCUGCCCAGCAUUUUGCACUGGUUCUGUCCCCUGCCCAGGAAGUUUUCUUCCUCACACGGCUGAUUCGCUUUAGUCUUUUAGCUGUUGGGUUACACACAUCACCUCCUUGGAGAGGCCUUUCCUCACCACCGAGUCUGAAGUAGCCAACCUGGCGUGUCCCUGGAUCUUGAGAACUGCUUGGAUCUUUCCACCCCCCACCCCAAGUUCUACUGUCUAGGGGAAUCCAAAGUUUUUGCAAGACUUCUGUGACUCUCCAAGGACUUACUUCACGCUUCUCAGUCUUUAAUUCCUUGUUCUGGGGUCCUGGCCCUUUCUCACAUCUAUGUUAAUCUUGACGGGGAGUUAUCCCCCUUUGUAAUUUCCUCCCAAACCACUCACAUCAAGUAUUCUGAGAGCUACAUAAUUGAUGGGACUCUUGAGAGUGCCAAGGAGGAGAGGGGGCCCACUGUUCACUGCUCUGGAUCCAGCCCCUCCCCCCAGGGCCCUCUCCCCACCACUCUCUGGCUCUCAAAGGUAAAACAGUCCCUCCCCUUGGUUUACUCCUUCCCCUGAAGUCUUGGCCCCAGUCUGUAGUCCUGUCCUGGGGGAGUUUCCUGCCUUACCUGGGCUUACUGACACAUUCUCUUAACAGAGGUUGUUUCCUCCAUGAAAGGGAUUCUUGUUCUUGCUGCUAAGAGAAUAACAACAUUUCCAUUUUAUUAUAGUGCUUGUUCCAGACCCUGUAGUUGGGGAUUGUCACAACAGCCCUAUAAGGUAUCAGUUCCACUUUGCAGAUGAGGAACCUCAGCUCAACGAAUUAGAGGCUGAUUAACACCAGGCUCCGGAGAGAUUCAGUAUCCCUCCCUGCAUCUGCCUGUUGCUUCCUCAAAAUCUUGACAGGAGUCAAGGGGUAGGUGGAUGGAGGCCAGGCUCUCAGGAGCCCAGAUCAUGGAAAAGGAGGCCCUCAGGCCUUGAGCUGUGGCUCUUUUUGUGGGAUGGAUCCAUUUUUCCCUACACUUACACAAUCCUCAACCUCACCUAGAUCAGAAGUUUCUUCUGUUUAAAAUAUGGCUCUCAGUUCUAACGCCAGAUCUGCCAAUGACUUGUAGUGCAGCCUUGGGCAAGUCACUGUUCCUCCUCUGAACUUUAGUUCACUUAUCUCACAGUGAGAGAAAGCUCCUUUCUGUCCUACGUCCUAUGGUAUUAAAGAAAAGUCAGAUGCUGGAAUAAUAAGACUCAUCUACUGAACACUUGCUGUGUGCUAUGUAUUCUUUUAAUCCUCUCAGCAUCUGGAGGGAGGUCCUGUAAUUGACCUAUUUUUACAAACAUCGAAACUGAGGCUUAGAAGGAUUUAGUUGUCCCAAGGUCUGCCCCAAGUGGCAGAAUUGGGUUUUGAACCUAGACUUACCUUUCUGAACUUGGAGCCAAAGCUUUUAAACCAUUGCAUCAAUUAGCUCCUGCUAAUACUAGUUCAGGCUGCUGAUGACUCUCAAUGGUCGCUCACACACAUGCAUACACAUGUACUCUCUUGUGGGGAAACAUGUGUACAUCUGGCCUAUCUUUGGAGGCCUCUCUGAAGGCCAAAUACCAUUUCUUUUUGUUUUUUUAAUUUUUAAAUUAUUUAAAUUAAAAACAUUUUUAAUUAUUUUAUUUUUUAUUUAAAUCCAAGUUAGUUAACAUAUAGUAUAAUAAUGAUUUCAGGAAUAGAAUAUAAAGAUUUCAGGAAUAUGUAGUGAUUCAUUACUUACAUAUAACACCCAGUGCUCAUCUCCACAAGUGCCAUCCUUAAUGUUCAUCACCCAUUUAGCCCAUCCCCCCACCCAGCAUCCCACCAGCAACCCUCAGUUUGUUCUCUGUAUUUAAGAGUCUAUUAUAGUUUGCCUCCCUCUCUGUUUUUAUUUUAUUUUUGCUUCCCUUCCCCUAUGUUCAUCUGUUUUGUUUCUUAAAUUCCACAUGAAUGAAAUCAUAUGAUAUUUGUCUUUCUCUGAGUUAUUUCACUUAGCAUAAUACCCUCCAGUUGCAUUCACGUUGUUGCAAAUGUCAAGAUUUCAUUCUUUUUGAUCGUUGAGUAAUAUUCCAUUGUGUAUAUAUAUAUACCACAUCUUCUUUAUCCAUUCACCAGUCAAUGGACAUUUGGGCUCUUUCCAUACUUUGGCUAUUGUCAAUAGUGCUGCUGUAAUCAUUGGGGUGCAUGUGCCCCUUCAAAUCAGCACUCCUGUAUCCUUUGGAUAAAUACAUAGUAGUGUAAUUGCUGAGUCAUAGAUAGUUCUAUUUUUAAUUUUUGAGGAACCUCCAUACUGUUUUCCAGAGUAGCUGCCCCAGUUUGCAUUCCCACCAGCAGUGCAAAAGGGUUCUUUUUUCUCUGCAUCCUUGUCAACAUCUGUUGUUUCCUGAUUGUUUCCUUCCUUGCCAACAUCUGUCAUUUCUAGUUGUUAAUGUUAGCCAUUCUGACAGGUGUGAGGUGAUAUCUCACUGUGGUUUUUAUUUGUAUUUCCCUGAUGAUGAGUGAUGUUGAGCAUCUUUUCAUGUGUCAUCUGGAUGUCUUUUUUUGGAAUCCUUUUAUGCCUUUUGCCCAUUUCUUUACGGGAUCAUUUGUCUUUUGGGUGUGGAGUUUGAUAAGUUCUUUAUAGAUUUUGGAUACUAACCCUUUAUCUAACAUGUCGUUUGCAAAUAUCUUCUCCCAUUCUGUUGGUUGCCUUUUAGUUUUGCUGAUUGUUUCCUUUGCUGUGCAGAAGCUUUUUAUUUUGAUGAGGUCCCAGUAGUUCAUUUUUGCUUUUGUUUCCCUUGCCUCUGGAGACAUGUCAAGUAAGAAGUUGCUAUGGCCGAGGUAAAAGAGGUUGUUGCCUGUUUUUUCCUCUAGGAUUUUGAUGGCUUCCUGCCUUAUGUUUAGGUCUUGCAUCCAUUUUGAGUUUAUUUUUGUGUAUGGUGUAAAAGUGUUCCAGGUUCAUUCUUCUGCAUGUCACUGUCCAGUUUUCCCAACACCAUUUGCUGAAGAGACUCUUUUUUCCACUGGAUAUUUUUUCCUGCUUUGUCAAAGAUUAGUUGGACAUAGGUUUGUGGGCCCAUUUCUGGGUUCUCUAUUCUGUUCUAUUGAUCUAUGUGUCUUUUGUGUGUGUGUGUGUGCCAGUACCAUACUGUCUUGAUGAUUACAACUUUGUAAUGCAGCUUGAAGUCUGGAAUUAUGAUGCCUCCAGACUUGGUUUUCUUUUUCAACAUUGCUUUGGCUAUUCGGGGUCUUUUCUGGUUCCAUACAAAUUUUAGAAUUGUUUGUUUUGUGAAGAAUGCUGGUGUUAUUUUGAUAGGGAUUGCACUGGAUAUGUAGAUUGUUUUGGGUAGUAUCAACAUUUUAACAAUAUUUGUUCUUCCAAUCCAUGAGAAUGGAACGUUUUUCCAUUUUUUGGUGUCUUCUUUAAUUUCUUUCAUCAGCUUUCUAUAGUUUUCAGUGUAUGGAUUUUUCACCUCCUUGGUUAGGUUUAUUCCUAGGUGUUUUAUGAUUUUUGGUGCAAUUGUAAGUGGGAUUGAUUCAUUGAUUUGUCUUUCUGCUGCUUCAUUAUUGGUGUAUAGCAAUGCAACCAACUUCUGUGCAUUGAUUUUAUAUCCUGUGACUUUGCUGAUUUCAUGUUUCAGUUCUAGCUGUUUUUGCUGAAGUCUUUUGGGUUUUCCACAUAGAAUAUCAUGUCAUCUGUGAAGAAUGAAAGUUUGACUUCCUCCUUGCCAAUUUGGAUGCCUUUUAUUUCUUUUUGUUGUCUGAUUGCCAAGGCUAGGACUUCCAAUGCUAUGUUGAACAACAGUAGUGAGAGUGGACAUCCCUGUCAUGUUCCUGACUUCAGGAUUCCAUGUUUUUCCCCAUUGAGGAUGAUAUUAGCUGUGGGUCUUUCAUAUAUGGCCUUUAUGAUCUUGAAGUAUGUUCCUUUUAUCCGUACUUUCUUGAGGGUUUUUGUCAAGAAAGGAUACUGUAUUUUGUCAAAUGCGUUUUCUGCAUCUGUCGAGAGGAUCAUGUAGUUCUUAUUCUUUCUUUUAUAAAUGUGAUGUAUCACAUUGAUUGAUUUACAGAUAUUGAAUCAGCUCUGCAUCCCAGGAAUAAAUCCCACUCGGUCGUGGUGAAUAAUUGUUUAAAUGUGUUGUUGGAUCUUGUUUGCUAGUAUCUUGUUAAGAAUUUUUGCAUCCAUGUUCAUCAGGGAAAUUGGUCUGUAUUUCUCCUUUUUAGUGGGGUCUUUAUCUGGUUUUGGAAUCAAGGUAAUGCUGGCCUCAUAGAAAGAGUUUGGAAGUUUUCCUUCUAUUUCUAUUUUUUUGGAACAGCUUCAAGAGAAUAGGAGUUAACUCUUCCUUAAGUGUUUGGUAGAAUUCCCCUGGAAAGCCAUCUGGCCCUGGACUCUUGUUUUUUGGGAGAUUUUUGAUUACUGAUUCAAUUUCUUUACUGGUUAUAGGUCUGGUCAGAUUUUCUAUUUCUUCCUGUUUCAGUUUUGGUAGUGUAUAUGUUUCUAGGAAUUUUGUCCAUUUCUUCCAGAUUACCCAUUUUAUUGGCAUAUAAUCGCUCAUAAUAUUCUCUUAUUAUAGUUUUUAUUUCUGCGGUGUUGGUUGUGAUCUCUCCUCUUUCAUUCUUGACUUUAUUUAUUUGGGUCCUUUCCUUUUUCUUUUUGAUCAAACUGGCUAGUGGUUUAUCAAUUUUGUUAAUUCUUUCAAAGAACCAGCUUCUGGUUUCUUUGAUCUGUUCUACUGUUUUGUUUUGUUUUUGUUUUUUGUUUUUUGGUUUUUUUUGUUUCGAUAGCAUUAAUUUCUGCUCUAAUCUUUAUUAUUUCCUGUCUUCUGCUGCUUUUGGCUUUUUAUUUGCUGUUCUUUUUCCAGCUCUUUAAGGUAUAAGGUUAGGUUGUGUAUCUGAGCUCUUUCUUCCUUCUUUAGGAAGGCCUGGAAGGCUAUAUACUUUCCUCUUAUGAUUGCCUUUGCUGCGUCCCAGAGGUUUUGGGUUGUAAUGUUAUCAUUUUCAUUGGCUUCCAUAUAUUUUUAAUUUCCUCUUUAACUUCGUGGUUGGCCCAUUCAUUCUUUAGUAGGAUGUUCUUUAGUCUCCAAGUAUUUGUUGUCUUUCCAAAUUCUUUCUUGUGGUUGAUUUCGAGUUUCAUAGCAUUGUGGUCUGGAAAUAUGCACAGUAUGAUCUCGAUCUUUUUGUACUUGCUAAGGGCUGAUUUGUGUCCCUAUGUGUGGUCUAUUCUGGGAACAUUCCAUGUACACUGAAGAAGAAUGCAUAUCCCACUGCUUUAGGAGGAAAUGUUCUGAAUAUAUCUGUUAAGUCCAUCUGGUCCAGUGUGUCAUUCAAAGCUAUUGUUUCAUUGUUGAUUUUUUGAUUAGAUGAUCUGCCCAUUGCUGUGAGUGGGGUGUUGAAGUGCCCUACUAUUUUGGUAUUACUAUCAAUGAGUUUCUUUAUGUUUGUGAUUAAUUGAUUUAUAUAUUUGGGUGCUUCCACAUUUGGCACAUAAAUGUUUACAAUUGUUAGGUGUUCUUGGUGGAUAGACCCCUUAAUUAUGAUAUGACCCCUUCUUCAUCUCUUGAUACAGUCUUUAUUUUAAAGUCUAGAUUGUCUGAUAUAAGUAUGGUUACUCUGGCUUUCUUUUGUUGACCAUUAGCAUGAUAGAUGGUUCUCCAUCCCCUUACUUUCAAUCCGAAGGUGUCUUUAGGUCUAAAGUGGGUCUCUUGUAAACAGCAUAUAGCUGGAUCUUGUUUUCUUAUCCAUUUUGUUACCCUAUUUUUUUUGAUUGGAGCAUUGAGUCCAUUGACAUUUAGAGUGAGUACUGAAAGAUAUGAAUUUAUUGCCAUUAUGUUGCUUGUAGAGUUGGAGUUUCUAGUGGUUUUCUCUGGUCCUUUCUAAUCUUUGUUGCUUUUGGUCUUUCUUUCUUUCUUUCUUUCUUUCUUUCUUUCUUUCUUUCUUUCUUAUUUCCUUCCUUCUUUCUUCAUCUUUUCUCCCCUCAGAGAGUCCCCCUUAAAAUUUCUUGCAGGGAUGGUUUAGUGGUCACAAACUCCUUUAAUUUUUGUUUGUCUGGGAAAAUUUUGUCUCUCCUUCUAUUUUGAAUGACAGCCUUGCUGGAUAAAGAAUUCUUGGCUGCAUGUUUUUCUGAUUCAGCACACUGAAUAUAUCCCACCGCUCCUUUCUGGCCUGCCAAGUUUCUGUGGAUAGGUCUGCUGCAAACCUGAUCUGUCUUCCCUUGUAGGUUAAGGACUUUUUUUCCCUUGAUGCUUUCAUGAUUCUCUCCUCACCUGAGUAUUUUGUGAAUUUGAAUAUGACAUGCUUUGUUGAUGAUUGGUUUUUGUUGAAUCUAAUGGGAGUCUUUCCCUAGGUUAGGAAAGUUUUCUGCUAUGAUUUGCUCACAUAACCCUUCUACCUCUAUUUCUCUCUCUUCCUUUUCUGGGACCCCUAUGAUUCUGAUGUUCCUUUUUAAGGAGUCACUGAUUUCUCUAAUUCUUAAAUCAUGCUCUUUUGCCUUAAUCUCCCUCUUUUUUUAUGCUUCAUUAUUCUCCAUAAGUUUGUCCUCUAUAUCACUGAUUCUCUGUUCUGCCUCAUCCAUCCUUGCUGCUGCCGCAUCCAUUCUAGAUUGCAGCUCAGUUACAACAUUUUUUAUUUCAUCCUGACCAGAUUUUACUUCUUUUAUCUCCAUAGAAAGGGAUUGUAAUCUAUUUUUGACUCCAGCUAGUAUUCUUAUUAUCGUGAUUCUAAAUUCUGGUUCAGACAUCUUGCUCGUAUCUGUGUUAGUUACGUCCUUGGCUGUUGUUUCUUCCUGCUCUUUCUUUUGGGGUUAACUCCUUCAUUUCAUCAUUUUGAAGAGAGAAAAGGAAUUAAUGUGGUAGAAAAAAAUUAAAAUUAAAAAAAUAUUGAAGUUAAAAAAUUAAAAACAAACACCCACAAAAAAAAAAUCAAAUAAAUGAUGCUAGAUCCUAGGUGUGUUUUGGUCUGGGUGUUGAAAGUGGCUUGAUAGAUUAGAGAAAAAAGGGAUAAAAAGAAAAAAAAAAGGAAAUCAUUUGAAAAUUUGAAAAAUGAAUACACUGAAGUAGACUAAAAUGAAAUGAUGGAAGUAAAAUAGAAUUUGAAAAAAUGUACACAAAAGUAAAAAAUAUAGUAGAAAAAAAUAAGAAAAAUAUUUUUAAUAAAGUUUGACAAUAAAAAUGAAUUUUUUCUCUUUAUGUAUUCAAGAAAAAGAAAAGAAAUGAAAAAGAGGAAAGAAAGAAAGAAAAUUGAAUAGUUGGACCAGCUAACAGACUGAAAUACGACUGAAAUUGUUUCGUUUUUCCCUGAAGUCAAACUAUGAAGCGCUUUAUAGUCCAUAAACUAAGCAGGCGGUGAGACUUGUGUUCUUGAAGAGCGAGGUUGGCCGCUCUUGAAGAGCGAGUUGGGCAGGGCUUAGUGUAAUGACUCGGUUCUCCACUAGAUGGCGCUGCUAGCCUACUGGGGUGGAUUGUUGUGGCGCUUGUAGGUGCAUAUGUGCAUGUGUGGGAGCGGUGAAAAUGGCUCUAGUCUCUAGUAUUGGAACUCUGUGCUCCCCUAUCGGCAAUCGUGCACUGUCCUUUGUCUUUGGCAUCCGUCCACUCCCCGCUUCCAUACUGUCCAUGACCAAGCCCCAGGCAGCACCUCCCUUCCAAGUUUUGUCUCAGAUGUGGCUGCCUUCCCCAGCCCCCCUUCUGAGGGACUGUGGCUUUGACCUGUUCUGCUCCUCUGCAGAGGGUCUCACUGAGCAAUGGCUGGGUGCUGACCGCACCCAGGAAUGCUUGCAGGACCGUGCUGCUGCUGAUGCCCAUUAGCAGACUAUAGCCAGGUGCCAGCCCACCCCAGAAAACGUUUGCAAGACAGUGUAGCAGCAGCGCCUCAGGGAUUAUGGAAAAUCACAACACACAUCUGGCACCAGGCUUCAUCCCCAAUGACCUUGUUCCAACAUCAGCAAAUGUGGCCAUUCUCUGGGGUCUGCUGGGCCCAGGUGGCCUCACAGCCUCUACCAAAUGUCCUUUCAGCGGUGGAACUGCUUCUCCCUGUGUGGCCCAAGAACCUCCCGGACCCCACUCUGCUCCUGGGGAUUCUCCCUUCCCACCAGAACACCACCAGGUAUCAAGCUGCGGAGUUUCAGACUCUGUGCUCCCCCUGUUUACAGUCUUAAUGGAAUUUAAACCCCCUCCUUUCUCCUUUCUCCCUUUUUAGUUCAGUCCCUGUGGCUGUUUCCAAUUUUCCACUUUCUCUCCAGCUGCUUUUGGGGAGUGGUGCUUUUCCCAUAAUCUCCCCCGCCCCCAUCUCCUUCCUCUCUCCACAUGCAAAAGCAGCUCCCUGCCCUCUGCAGCUUCUCUCUCCCCAAGUUCAUCUCUCCACGCUGUGUACCUGCUGAAUUCUGUGGUUUAGGUUGUGCAGAUUGUUGUGUUAAUCCUCGGAUCAGUUUUCUUGGUGUGCAGGAUGGUUUAGUGUUGGUCUGGCUGUAUUUCAUGGAUGUGAGACACACAAAAAACUUCCAUGUUGUUCCACCAUCUGGAAAGAUCUUUAAUUUAUUUUAAAUUUAUUUUUAAAUUUACAUACAAGUUAGUUAGCAUAUAGUGCAACAAUGAUUUCAGGAGUAGAUUCCUUAAUGCCCCUUACCCAUUUAGUUCAUCCCCCCUUCCACAAACCCUCCAGUAACCCUCUGUUUGUUCUGUAUAUUUAAGAGUCUCUUAUGUUUUGUCCCCCUCCCUGUUUUUAUAUUAUUUUUGCUUCACUUCUCUUACGUUCAUCUGUUUUGUAUCUUAAAUUCCUCAUAUGAAUGAAGUCAUGAUAUUUGUCUUUCUCUAAUUUCAUUUAGCAUAAUACCCUCUAGUUCCAUCCGCAUAGUUGCAAAUGGAAAGAUUUCAUUCUUUUUGAUUGCUGAGUAAUACUCUAUUGUAUUAUCAAGAAAGGAUACCACAUCUUCUUUAUCCAUUCAUCUGUUGAUGGACAUUUGAGCUCUUUCCAUACUUUGGCUAUUGUUGAUAGCGCUGUUAUAAACAUUGGGGUUCAUGUGCCCCUUUGAAACAGCACACCUGUAUCCCUUGGGUCAAUACCUAGUAGUGCAAUUGCUGGUUCAUAAGGAAGUUCUAUUUUUAAUUUUUUGAGGAACCUCCAUACUGUCUUCCAGAGUGGCUGCACCAGUUUGCAUUCCCACCAGCAGUGCAAAAGAGAUCCUCUUUCUCCACAUCCUCACCAACAUCUAUUGUUGCCUGAGUUGUUAAUGUUAGCUAUUCUGACAGGUUUGAGGUGAUAUCUCAUUGUGGUUUUGAAUAGUAUUUCCCCAAUGAUGAGUGAUGUUGAGCAUUUUUUCAUUAACCAGCUAGUAUUCUUAUUAUCAUGGUUCUAAGUUCUAGUUCAGAUAUCUUACUUAUAUCUGUGUUGAUUAAAUCUCUGGCUGUCACUUCUUCCUGUUUUUUUGGGGGGGGUGAUGGAGAAUUCCAUCCUUUUGUAUUUUGGAGGAAGAAAAAAAUUAAUAAAAUUAAAAGUAAAAAUUAAAAAAUUAAAAACAAAACAAAAAUCAAAUAAAAGAAGCUAGAUCCUAGAUGUGCUUUGGUCUGCUUGUUGAAAGAAGCUUGAUAAAAUAGAGAAACAAGGGAAAGGAAAGAAAAAAAAGGUAAGAAAAAAUUUAAAAGUUAAAAAAAUUUAUAGAAUAAAAUAAAAUAAAGUUAAAUAGAAUAAAAAUAAAAUGAUAAAAAAAGUAAAAAAGUAAACAUAAAGUGUCCUUUCUGUAUCCAAGAAAGAGCAAGAAAAGAAAGAAAAAAGAAAACAAUGCAAGCAAAAACAGAAGAAAGAAAACAAAUAAGUUAACCAGCAAACAGAAUGAAGCCUGAAUGAAGUUACAUCCAGUUUCCCCUAGAACUGAAACUAUGAAGACUUUUAUAGUCUGUACACUAAGCAGGUGGAGUGACUUGUGCUGGUCUUCUAGGGGAUGUGCUUGGAGGGCACAGUUGGACUGGGCUAAGUGUAAUGGCCCUGUUUUCCAGUAGGUGGCGCUGCUUAGCCAACUAGUGGGUGGAUCUGUGUGCGAGUUUAUAUGCGCUGGUGCGGCAGAGAUGGAAAUGGCUUCAUCCAGCUCUCCAGUCUCUGGAGCAGGAACUUUGCUCUCUCACCCAUCUGUAAUCAAGCACCCUCCUUUGUUUCAGGCCUCCAUCCACUCCUCGCCUCUACCCUGUCCAUGUCCAAGCUGUCCACCUGCCAGGCGGUCCCUCCCUCCAGCUUUAUCUCAGAUGGGUUGUGUUUCUUAUUUUAUUAAAAAACUUUUUUUUUACAUUUAUUUAUUUAUUUUUAAGAGACAGAGAGAGAGAGAGAGAGCAUAAGUGGGGGAUGGGCAGAGAGAGAAGGAGACACAGAAUCUGAAGCAGGCUCCAGGCUCCGAGCUGUCAGCACAGGGCUGGACGCGGGGCUCAAACUCACAAACCAUGAGAUCAUGACCUGAGCUGAAGUCCGACGCUCAACCGACUGAGCCACCCAGGCGCCCCCAGAUGGGGUUGUGUUUCAAAAUCCCACAUUUCAGAGACCCUCAGGGCUUGGACCCACCCUGAUUCUCUGGGGGAGGCUCUCGCUGAGCAAUGGGGGGGGGGGGCUGCCAUCUUGCCCCAGAAAACAUUCAUGCUAUCGACAAUGGCAGAAGUUCAGGGAUUAUGGCAAAUUACAACACACCUGGAGCCAGGCCAAAUACCAUUUCUUACAGGCCAGCCAAAUCCAGCCCCAGGACAUCUGGUCAUCUGGUUCAAAUGCUCAUGGUGCAGCAAAUGGCUGUACAGAGAAGGGACAUGUGGCCAGAACUCUCACCUCCACAUAAAAUUCUCGUUGUACUACCCAGAAUUGUUUCCUCAUGUUUUGCCUUCCUGUCCUACCCAUUGGUUCCUCCAUGUUGCUGUGUGUGGUCUUCUGUUUUGAGCUGAAGGCCUUUCUCUGAUAUAGCAGUGAAAACCACCCACUGUUCUAGGCCUUAUUUUCCAUUCCCUCCCAAUUGAUCACCCACGUCCCAUAAGGCUGACAGUCAAGUAAGCUGGUUAGGUGUAGGUUUAUGUGGAUGAGGUCUUUGCUUUAGGAUGACCAGGGCUAGAAGACCCUUGUGUGUCCUGAUGAGGAGGGCCUUUGUGUGUGUGUGUGCAUGUGUCUAAAGCCAGGCAUCUAUUUACCUUGAAAAGAUGAGGAAUAGCCCUCUUUGAAAACAACUGAAUGUACCUAAGAAAAGUAUGUCCAGUUCUGAACUGUUAGGAGUUUCUGGCAAGCUUUGUAUUAUGUGCUGGGGUGGGAAUUUGACUUUGUAUAUAGAUUUUCAAUUAGGCUUUUAGAUUGACAUCUCAACUCUGAACUGUGAUGGAUCAAAAAAAAAAAUAAGAAAAAGAAAAAAGAAGAGAGAGAGACAGAGACAGAGACAGAGAGACACACACAGAGAAACAACAAACAACAUUUCCUUUCUGGCUUGCCAGGAUCCUGGCCCUGGCCUGUGCUUCCUGUUUUCAGCUCCAUCCUGUCCUUUAGGCUUGUGAACUCUGGUUCCCUGGUUUUUGACCCUGGUGCUGGCUAAGGACUUUGAAACUUCCUGCUGCCUUGGGUGUACAUGCUGAAUUUGUUCUGGUUCCUGUGUCAAUCCAAGCCCUGACAUCCCUCCAUGUCCACUUUGGCCUCUGCAAGCAAAGAUCUGGGCCUAUGUUGUAUUUGUUAGUGAUUCUGUUGUCCCUGGUUUGUGAGCUACUAGAGGGAGAAAUUUGAUCAUGUUCAGUUGUAAUGCCUCAGCUCUGAUAGCAAGGAGGGUGAAGAGAAAUUUCUGGGUCAAGGAGCAGGAACCUCCAGGCCAGGAGGUUCUAAAACAUGUACCACUUCCUCGCUGUGGAGGGACAAGGGCAGGAAGCCUGUGGGUCAGAGUCUUGGACCCUUCCCUGUCUCUGAGGCCCUGGCUGGUGACUGAUGGGCCAUUGUAUAAGUUAAAGUGCUUUUGGCACCAGUAAUGGAAACCAAGAUCUGCUAAGUCUAGCUAAUGUCAAGAAAAGGGGGUAUGGAUCCUCAGAUGUCCACGAUGGAUGAAUGGAUACACAAAAUGUGGUACAUACACACAAUGAAACAUUAUUCAGCCUUAAAAAGGAAUGAAGCCCUGAUGGGGCUGCAGCAUGAGUAAACUGGAGAUACUGAGAUCUAUACUUCUCUUUUGUGUUGGGGAUCUAACAAAACCUCUGCAACAGGGACAAAAAUUAUUAGCAUGUGAAUAUUCCCAUUCUGGUUGCUAAAAAAGAAAUGUUUUAAGAGAAAAGAAGAAGAAAAAGAAAUCUAGUAAAGGGAUAAGCAUGGACAGGAAAAGUCAGGAGUUCUAUCAGGCAUUUCAUGAGUAAGGGGCCAGAGAUGUGGCAGGUCGGAAGCUGGCCAUAAUUAUUUAGGAUGGCUGGUGUGCAGGUGGGAGGGGAGGCCCCAAAGGCAGAGCCAAGAGAAAGAUGUGAAAUACAUAUUUCUGUGUAUUGAGAAUGUAUUUAUCCCCACCUCCCUUAACUUUGGCAUUUCCUCUGGAGAUUGAGAAACUGUUUGAAAUACUUUUAAUUACUUUUUGCAUCAGGGGCCAGCUUCUCUCAAUACCACUGUCAUCCAGACCACAUGGCUGCCUGCAUUUUCACAGGGUUGCAUUUUUCUUUCUGGAACCUGGACUCCCACCGAGGCUUCAGAGCUUCAGAGCUGGGGUUGGCCUUCCUAUGUUCUAAUACUUUUAACCUGGGCCAAAUUCCUGGGAGGCAGCAAAGGUAGAUUGGGAUCCUUGAUGUACUCUUGGACCCAUUUGUUGUUGGGGUUGGCGCAGACCUCUCGAUUCUUUUUGGUGACAAAACUGUGGAGGCAGAGUUAGAAUGUCAGCGAGCAUGGAGUAGGGUGGGGGUCCAGUCCACACUCCCCCAUUUUUAGCUCACUGGGGGCUCACCUCAUACUCUUUACUGCAUCCCUAGGCCUCCCCCAUCUGAAUUCCCUCAGUAGGCCUCCCUCUCUGGCUUCUAGACCUGGCUUCAUUGUCCCUGUUUCAACCUGUUCCCUGCUCAACCAAGAUACUUAGGCAUGGGUACCAUUAUGGCUGUCAUUUAUCAGUCCACAAAACUAUAAGUGGCAACAUCAAGAAUUAAACUCAGGCCUGGGGCUCAUGCGUGGUUCAGUAGGUUAAGCGUCCAACUUUGGCUCAGGUCAUGACCUUGUGUGGUUCAUGAGUUCGAGCCCCACAUCAGGCUCGCUACUGUCAGCGCAGAGCCCACUUCAGAUCCUCUGCCUCCCUCUCUUUCUGUCCUCUCCCACUCUAUCCCUCUUUCUCUCUCUCCCAGAAAUAAGUAAAUAUUAAAAAAAUAAGCAACCGAGGACUUCCCUGCGAGAUUCAAAGCCCAAGCCCUUAAGCACGACUCUCCUGCUUCUAGCAUGGAGACUUCUUGGUUCUGUGCAUCUCAUUCUGGCCCCAGUUCCCCUUCCCCCUCCACAGAAAUGUCUGCAGGGCAUGCUUACAUGAUUGCUGGCAGGUAACAGUUGAGGGCCUUUCUGUAUCCCACCACCAAUUUCUUUGGCAAUACUUUCUCAUGAUACUUCAGGCAGCAGGUGGGAGAAUGGUUCACCGACUCAGGAAUUUCUGAGAGAAUCACAUUGAAAGCUGAACCAGGUAGGCAUAGAGGGAGCCCGUGGUUACCUACCUUCAUCUCCCACCCAUUGCAUUCCAUGCUUCUGAUGGCAAAACCAUCUGUUAGCAGGGACUGAUGAUAGCUUUAUGGGUAACAGAGAACAUGAAAAAAGGAAGGGGGGGGUGGACAUACAUCUAGAACCUUCAGCUUCUGAACUGAGUUUCAGCAAAUGCAAGUGACUUGGUUAUUCAUGUUUGCUGGUGAGCCAGGGCUUGAUUUGGCCAACACAUAUUGAGCUCUAAGGGGGCAAAACCCUGAGGAAGACACUGUCAUUACUCUGGAGCGUCUCACUGUCUAGUCAGAGUGAAAAGGGAAAGUGAAAUGAAUUGUGGAAAACAGAAUGAGGGGUACCUACCCCAGCCUGGGUGGCUGAGGAAGAAGUCCCACAGCAUGUAGUGCAUGGCUUGCUUCUUGAAAGAUGAGUGGGAUUGAAGCAGAUGAAAGGGUUGUGGGAUCUGGAAAAGAGAAAGGCAUGAAGGCGUGGGGGAAGCCGAGUGUCUGGGGAAUGCUGAGCCGCUACAGAUGGCAGCAAUGCAAUGUGAGAAGAAAGAAGAGGAGACAGAAUUGGAGAGGGAAGGGGAGACUAGCACACCUUCUGAGCUGUGGACUCUAUCCUAGCAGCAUUAGAGGGGCUGAAGUCAGUGAGGAGGGUGAGAUGAGCAGUGAGCCAGAGAAGUUAGGGUGGGAAGAAAAGUUCUGUUUAGGCUUCGGGUCAGACAUCUGGAAUCGGUAUCUUGACCAAAUGAUUUGAAGUAUGGGCAAAUUAAAAAAAUCUCUCUAGGUCUCAUCCAUUAAAUUAGGGUAAAAAUAUGCUUAUAUGUCCUAGGAUCAUCGUGAGGGUUAGUUGAGAAAAUGCUGGUAAAACCCUUAAAUCAGAACAUAGUAAGGCUCAGUCAGUGCUUGUUACAAUUAAGAGUAGAUGGUAGUAAUUGACCAUUUUUCUUGCCUGGAAAUGCCACUUCCCCCCCUCUCUUUGAUGCUGUCAGAAUGCUGGCCUUGGUUGGUUGUUAGUGCUGUGUUUCUCUUGAGCUCCCCUGACUACUCAUCAGUUGGGAUAUCAAACAAGAGGGCAGGUAGAGACCUCUCCCAGCCCCAAAACUGCAGACUGCAGAUCCCUUUGCUGCCUGACCCUUUGCUUCCAGCUGGUGGCCAAGAUUGGAAUAUCUCAAGAGUACCAUUUGGCUGAUCCAUGCUUUGGGUGGGCCAUUUUCUGAAACCUUUUUGAAGACUGAACCCAUCGUAGUGGUCUGUUUGACCUUCCCUAAGGGCAAUGUUACCUCCUGCCACCCAGAUGCAGCUCUGCACAUAGUGACGUCCAUGACCCUGGUUCUCAAAGCAAAGAUGACAAAGUCCAGGGGGCAUCUGGGGAGCAUGUGGGCAGAAUAUGUGGUGUGCAUGACCGUUGUUCCCCUGAGAGUUUAUAUGCCAGAGUCCGACCAGACCACAUGCUAAAGGUAGCCUUAGGGAGAAAAAAAGGGGCUCGGGCACAUGGAAGUUGGUAUGUGGAAAGUCUGAGUGGCUUGGUCUCUUUCUUGUUGCCAGGUCCUCACACAUGAUGGUUGAGGCAGGGAUAGAGAGUGGGAAAAACAAACCUUGUUCUCCAUAGGUCCCAAGCAUCCUGUGGCUCCCAAAACCUUUCAACCCCUUUCUCUUUUCUAUAGCCUUUAUUUAAACCCAGGCUGGGGAAUGGGGACAGAGGCCAUGAAAUCCUGCACUGCACACCUGGGCAUCCCAUUGGGCCUUCCUUUGGCUGCCAUGAUAGUCCCAGAAAUCUGUGCCAGACACUACAAGGAAGAGUAUCUAGGUUCAGACUCCCCACCCCUGGGCUUGGCCCCAAACAUCACUUCAGCCCCCUUCCCAGUACCUUUUGUCCUGCUCUCUCAGAGCACCUGUAGCUUUUCUUAUCCAGCUAUCUUCCUCUCCUUUUGUUGUUCACGUUUAUUCUCGUAUCUCCUAUUACUUCCUUGGCUCCUCCUAAAUGAUCGCUCGCUAUUCUCCAUCUUUGGGAUUCCUGACAUGACCUUGACCCAGCUUCCUGGAACUGCCUGAUGAUCCCAGAAGGGAUCUAGAUACCAGCCCAGCUCUCCUUGCAAAGGAGAGAGUUUGAGGAGUGUGCCUGCAGGAGGGGAGAGGGCCCACGGCUGAUGACGGAGACCUGACAGGACUCUUGAUGUCACCUCACUGCCAGCUGCCCUUUCUCAUUCCAGCCCUGCAGGGACAGGUGGACUCACUUGACUGGCCGUACAAAGCCGGAGUGGUGAUGAGGAUGAGGAGAAAGAGGGCAGCCACAGAGAACUUCAUCCUCUCCGGGGGACCCUUUAGCUUCAGGGGAGGCUGGUUGUCCACUCUGACUUCACAGCUGCUCUCUGUACUCUGACCACUUCAGAGUGGGUGGAGGAGAGAAGAGGUGCCUCCCUCUGUUUGCCAAAAGGAAGGGUGGGGCUUGGCGCAGAGUUGAAUUAAUAAGUUUUUUUUUUAAUGUUUAUCUAUUUUUGAGAGAGAGAGAGCAGGGGAGGAAUGGAGAGAGGAGGGGGCAGAGAAUCCCAAACAGGCUCUGCACUGAUAGCCAUGAGCCCAAUGGGGGGGGGGGGCUCAAAUUCAUGAAUCAUGAGAUCAUGAUCUGAACAAAAGUCAGACCUUCAACCAAUCUGAGCCACCCAGGUGCCCUGAAUUAAUAAGAUUUAAAUUCACCAGGAGAGGAGUAGAGGAAGGGAACAUGUGGUUCACGUGUGCUGUGUGUCAGCGUCUUUAUAUAGGCGCUGUUUGACUUAAUUCUCACCAUAGUGAAGCGGAGAUUAUUAUUCCAUUUUAUAAAUGAGGCCACUUGAGGCUUGGAGAGGUUAAAUUCUCCCAGGUCACAGAGAUGAGAGGCAGUUCUGCAAACCAGAUCCGUGUGAUUUCAACACAUUACCUGCCACCAUCUCUAUUUUGGGGAAAGGGGGAAGAAAGGGGGUGGAACCACCCCAGUACCCUCAGGUGAUCGGUCUUUGGGAGGGUGAAAAUAAAGCAGGAUUAGAGAGAUCACAGACUGGAGCGAGGAUAGGGUUUAGACCUCUGAAAAGGAUGCCUCCCAUCCCCAGUCUAAGGACACAUGGCUCAACUCACACCUUCUCCCGUCACAGAUUGUGUUAGUAAUACUGAGAAAAAACAAUGUGCGAUCCUUGAGUCCUCAUUUAUUGCUGAGGUCUUUGGCUUAUUCGUUAAUGUUCUUUUAUCUCUUUGGACCUUGGACUCUGAACCACCUUUAGAUCUAGUUGGCCAGCCCUCCUGCUUGCCUGCGAUAUGGGUUUAUCCAACCGGCUACCGCGGCCAAUCACGGCAUGCAGAGGGCGCUCCAACCCCACGCACGUGAUAAUCUCUUCGGUGUUUCUGAGCUUCUCGGCCAGAGGACUUGACUAGGGCUGACCUGCCCCUCCGCGUCUUCUCUCUUCAGACUGCCUCAGGACCCCAUUCCAGGGAUUGAAGGUAGAAUUCAGAGAAGACAUGGAAGAUAUAGGGGAUUUUGGCAGGUGCUUUAGAGGCAUAGUGGGGUGCGUUUCAGUAAAUGAAAGUAGACUGAAGGAAGCAGGGGCGUAUGAAGAUCCUUAUGGGGCUUGCUGUUUUGCAUGACUGCUCAUGAAUAGGGAAAAACUAUAUAAUGCAUUUCGUCCUGGUGGGUUCAAGGCAGUGGUGGUGACACUAUGGCUUUUUAGGACGGUAGUAUGUAUGUAUUUGGGUACCCCCUUGAUCAUUGUUUUUGGAGGUGAGGAGGUCUGAGGAAGCCUGGUUGUACCUUUAGCAUAUAAGUAUCUUCUUGGCCCUGGUGUGUGGAAGAUGGUGGCCUGGGAAGGGUGGGCACUGUACCUACACUGGCCAUGCUCUUACUCUGAGGAAGAGGAUCUCCUCCUUGAACCCCGAAGAUGGGUCUGAGAGCUUUUGGGGGCAGCUGGGUAUUAUUCAUGGAGCAUAGCAUCCUCUUGAUUCCUGUAUCUUUCUAUCCAGCCAUCAGUCCAUCCAUUUCCUGAGUACCUGGUAUGGGCCAGGCUUUCUGUUAGGCCUUGGUGGAGGACACAAAAAUGGGCAUAACAAUAUAGUACAACCUGAUGUAUGCAAGUGGAGGGGGAAGGGUUGGAUAAAAUCAUUCUUAUCCCAGAUAGCUGGGAACAAGGGCCUUGGGAGCAGCACAGAACAAAGGACUUUGAAAUUUGGCUGCUACGAAGACUUUAUGAAGAUUUACCUGCAAAAUCAGGUGAUAAUUCUUAGCAUUACACUUGUGUAGCUUAUAUAAAUAAGAUAAUACACUCAGACUGUUUAGCAGACUGCUUGAAAGGUAGAAAGUGGUAAGGCAAUGGUAUCUGUUACCAUCAUGAUGAUUAUUAUGUAAAGGUGGCCUUAGCUUCCCGCCACCCCCAUCACAGGCCUGACCUGUUUUUUUUGCAUCUAGGGCUGACCACAUUUCUGUAGAGCAAAGCCUGAUGCCAAGAGUGCCACCCAGCUGGGCUCCAAAGAGUAGAUCUGGUAGAAAUGAAUGAGGACAGGGAAGGCAUAAAUUCUAUGUCUUUAAUUCAAGGCAGGACAGCUUCCAGAAGGUGUCGGGCUGAGCAUUGGGACUGAGAGGGGGGCCUUGGCCUCUUCUUCAGAUGGCCAGCUCAUUUCUCCUCCAGGUCCUUGAUGUAGUCCUGGACCCAGACGUCAUUGGGGUUGGCGCAUAUGGAAUGGCCCUUUUUGGUGAUGAAGCUAUGGAGCGAGAGGGAGAAGGGUUACAGACUCAGGCAUCAAGCAGUGAAGUGUGAGCCAGUCAGCCUCCCAGAUUCCUCACCCAUCUAGGCUGUUUCUCCUUUCUUUGUCAGAGGCAGCUCAAGACCAGUCUCCUCUCUGAGACAUGCUCUCCAGCCCCUCGGGGACCCUGGACCCAUCUCCAUGCUUCUCCUGCCCCUGGAAGUGCCCUCCUGCCUUCCCUUCCCCUCCCCUGAUGCCUCCCCAUGCAUGGGCUCAGCUUCCUCCUGGCUCCCCAGAGGCUCAGCCAGGCCAGAAAGCCCCCAGGUUUCCCCUCCGCUGCCUGUCACUGCACCUGAGAAGUGCUCUGGGGAGUCCCCACUCCAGUUCCUCCCUAUCCCCCAGGGCUUGCAGGCUUCCUGUCCCCUGGUAUAUGGUGUGUGGGUGCCACCUACACCACUCCGGGCCUGGAGCACUGGCUGCUGGUCUCAUAAUAACCCGUGAUCCGAUGACGCGCGAUUGCCUGGGCAAUGUAGUUGAAGCAGCACUCGGCCGGGUGGUAAGGUCCUCCUGAGGAGAGAGCAGGGAGGGAAGUGGACACUGGGUUCUCUGCUAAAGGCCAGAGCUGCUGGCUGCUUCUGCACUAUAGAGGGUGGAAGAGGGAAAGGAGGAGGAGGUGGCCUCACAGAAUUUGGAGGGAGGGUUGUGCAGAGACUUGGUCCUCCGGCUCCUCUUUCCCUCCUCCUGCAUCCACAAUCACCCUCCUUCCUGUUCUUCAACCUCUCCUAGAAAGACUGGCUGAUGACCUUCAACUCCAGAUUUAAGGUUAGCAAAGCCCAAAUCUUCUCACAGGUGCAAGAGAGUGACUGGAAAUAAUCCGUUCCUUCAAGCUUCAAUUAUGGAGGUAGCAGGAAGGUUACUUCAGAACGAGGGCCCUGGAGAAACAAGUAGGCACUGCAGUCAUGGAGUGGAGUGCUGGGGGUGUGCAUGUUAUGUGCUCAGCCUGGACAGAACCCUGUGUGUGUUGGCAGUGGCCUCUGAGGUUGCAGAGGGGCAGCUGGAUGCUUGGGUGGCAAGGGAACAGCUGGGUCUUUUAUCCAGUUCCAUUCCAGGUAGCAUCCUGUGUCUCCAAAGAAUGGAAUAAGGGGUCCACUGGUUCCUGAGACCAGUCUCAACCUAUUCCUCUGAGAGGAAUCUUCUCAGAGAGGCAAGUUGAACUGUCCAGAUUACCACUAACUUUAGACUGGCUUUAUUUCAACAACCCCCUCUGUUUCCUCCCAGUUUCUGAGAAGAAGCUGAGGUAAAGAUGAAGGGUGAGGCAUGGUUUUGGUUGUGUGUAAAGGCAGCUCAUCCUAAGAAAUAAGCUGGAAAAAGGUGACCGAGGUGAGACCCCGCACUGUUGUGGUCGCCCUCAGCCCAUACCUAAGCAAGGCCACACCUUUGGGUAGGGCUGACCCUGGAAGCCGGCAGCCCCAAUCUCAGAGGGCAAGCAGACAAAUGGCUCCUCUGUAUCCCUGGGGAUAAUGUCCCCCAAAUAAGGUGGGCUACUCUUACUUAAUGGCAAAGAGAGAUGAACUGAGGGAGUGGAGAGGCAGGUUCACUCCAUGGCCUUGGCAGGAGGGGGGACUAGUCCUGGGAGGGUGAGGACAAAACCAAUUUCAGAAGAUCCCAGACCUCCUCCUUGUCUCUCCAGCAACUUUACUCCUGCUUCUUUCCUCACAGGGGCAAGGAUGGAAGGAAGACAAGGUAUUGCACUCACGUGAAGAGGAUUUAGCCGUGGACACCAGGGCACCGGUGAUGAGGAGGAGGAAGAGGGAGAUGGCAGCCAUGGAGACUUUCAUCCUCCUGGGUUGAGGGAGCUGCUGCAGGAGGAGAACUUGCCUGGUAGGGGCUUCUGAAGCUCCUGGGCUGAGGUGGUGGUGAGAAA
Molecule: long non-coding RNA, 22621 nt
Organism: Acinonyx jubatus (cheetah)
Lineage: Eukaryota; Metazoa; Chordata; Mammalia; Carnivora; Felidae
Exons: 2
Source: RefSeq, a predicted model, not a curated record